RNAcentral lists this ribosomal RNA (859 nucleotides) under uncultured bacterium. RNAcentral's name for it is "bacterial SSU rRNA". It matches the Rfam family "Bacterial small subunit ribosomal RNA", at positions 62 to 952 of the family's 1533-position model. The record is from RNAcentral.
UCGACGAUGAAUCUUCUAGCUUGCUAGAAGUGGAUUAGUGGCGCACGGGUGAGUAAUGCAUAGGUUAUGUGCCCUUUAGUCUGGGAUAGCCACUGGAAACGGUGAUUAAUACUGGAUACUCCCUACGGGGGAAAGUUUUUCGCUAAAGGAUCAGCCUAUGUCCUAUCAGCUUGUUGGUGAGGUAAUGGCUCACCAAGGCUAUGACGGGUAUCCGGCCUGAGAGGGUGAUCGGACACACUGGAACUGAGACACGGUCCAGACUCCUACGGGAGGCAGCAGUAGGGAAUAUUGCUCAAUGGGGGAAACCCUGAAGCAGCAACGCCGCGUGGAGGAUGAAGGUUUUAGGAUUGUAAACUCCUUUUGUUAGAGAAGAUUAUGACGGUAUCUAACGAAUAAGCACCGGCUAACUCCGUGCCAGCAGCCGCGGUAAUACGGAGGGUGCAAGCGUUACUCGGAAUCACUGGGCGUAAAGAGUGCGUAGGCGGGGUAAUAAGUCAGAUGCGAAAUCCCGUAGCUUAACUACAGAACUGCAUUUGAAACUGUUACUCUGGAGUGUGGGAGAGGUAGGUGGAAUUCUUGGUGUAGGGGUAAAAUCCGUAGAGAUCAAGAGGAAUACUCAUUGCGAAGGCGACCUGCUGGAACAUUACUGACGCUGAUGCACGAAAGCGUGGGGAGCAAACAGGAUUAGAUACCCUGGUAGUCCACGCCCUAAACGAUGGAUGCUAGUUGUUGCCUUGCUUGUCAGGGCAGUAAUGCAGCUAACGCAUUAAGCAUCCCGCCUGGGGAGUACGGUCGCAAGAUUAAAACUCAAAGGAAUAGACGGGGACCCGCACAAGCGGUGGAGCAUGUGGUUUAAUUC